Molecule: non-coding RNA, 90 nt
Organism: Kwoniella mangroviensis CBS 10435
Lineage: Eukaryota; Fungi; Basidiomycota; Tremellomycetes; Tremellales; Cryptococcaceae
Source: Rfam
GGCAUUGUGCGAUAGUGGUUAUUCGGCGAGACUUGAAUUUUAAGAUAUCUCGUGCCGUAAGGCUCGUAGGUUCGAACCCUACCAAUGUCG